UCGGCAACGGAUAUCUCGGCUCUCGCAUCGAUGAAGAACGUAGCGAAAUGCGAUACUUGGUGUGAAUUGCAGAAUCCCGUGAACCAUCGAGUCUUUGAACGCAAGUUGCGCCCGAAGCCAUUCGGCCAGGGCACGUCUGCCUGGGCGUCACG
This 152-nucleotide ribosomal RNA is filed under the name Thomandersia laurifolia. Its description in RNAcentral is "5.8S ribosomal RNA". It matches the Rfam family "5.8S ribosomal RNA". From Rfam's summary of the family: 5.8S ribosomal RNA (5.8S rRNA) is a component of the large subunit of the eukaryotic ribosome. Lineage: Eukaryota; Viridiplantae; Streptophyta; Magnoliopsida; Lamiales; Thomandersiaceae. The record is from RNAcentral.